Molecule: ribosomal RNA, 253 nt
Filed under: uncultured bacterium
Lineage: Bacteria
Description: partial 16S ribosomal RNA
Rfam family: Bacterial small subunit ribosomal RNA
Source: RNAcentral
UACGGGGGGGGUAAGCGUUGUUCGGAAUUACUGGGCGUAAAGCGUGCGCAGGCGGUUGUGCAAGACAGAUGUGAAAUCCCCGGGCUUAACCUGGGAACUGCAUUUGUGACUGCACGGCUAGAGUGUGUCAGAGGGGGGUAGAAUUCCACGUGUAGCAGUGAAAUGCGUAGAUAUGUGGAGGAAUACCGAUGGCGAAGGCAGCCCCCUGGGAUAACACUGACGCUCAUGCACGAAAGCGUGGGGAGCAAACAGG